AUGUAUGGGUUUCACUAGAGUGGAUGGUCGUUGGACCAAGGGUCAUGGUGCUGCAGUGGAGGAAGAGGAGGAGGAGCGUGCUGAGGGGGAGGAUCCCUCAUCACCACCUGAGCCCAAACCGAGCCCUGACAUUCUUUUUGUAUCGGAGCCUAAGGUAGGACCUUCAGUUAGUGCACCUCCAUCUACAAGCCAUGCCAUGCCAUCAUCACCUAGAUUGGAGGAGGACG
Molecule: long non-coding RNA, 227 nt
Filed under: Elaeis guineensis (African oil palm)
Lineage: Eukaryota; Viridiplantae; Streptophyta; Magnoliopsida; Arecales; Arecaceae
Description: long non-coding RNA (EGUI_LNC042658)
Source: RNAcentral